RNAcentral lists this ribosomal RNA (460 nucleotides) under uncultured bacterium. RNAcentral's name for it is "partial 16S ribosomal RNA". It matches the Rfam family "Bacterial small subunit ribosomal RNA", at positions 338 to 795 of the family's 1533-position model. The record is from RNAcentral.
CCUACGGGAGGCAGCAGUGAGGAAUAUUGGUCAAUGGCCGGAAGGCUGAACCAGCCAUGCCGCGUGAAGGUCAGUGCCCUAUGGGCGUUAAACUUCUUUUGUGCGGGAGCAAUAAUGGUCACGUGUGGCCAGACGAGAGUACCGUACGAAUAAGCAUCGGCUAACUCCGUGCCAGCAGCCGCGGUAAUGCGGGGGAUGCAAGCGUUAUCCGGAUUUAUUGGGUUUAAAGGGUGCGUAGGCUGUGAGGUAAGUCAGCGGUGAAAUGCCCCCGCUCAACGGGGUGAAGUGCCAUUGAUACUGCCUGGCUGGAAUGCGGAUGCCGUGGGAGGAAUGUGUGGUGUAGCGGUGAAAUGCAUAGAUAUCACACAGAACACCGAUUGCGAAGGCAUCUCACGAAUCCGCGAUUGACGCUGAUGCACGAAAGCGUGGGUAUCAAACAGGAUUAGAUACCCCAGUAGUC